Molecule: ribosomal RNA, 492 nt
Filed under: uncultured bacterium
Lineage: Bacteria
Description: partial 16S ribosomal RNA
Rfam family: Bacterial small subunit ribosomal RNA
Source: RNAcentral
AGUGAACGCUGGCGGUAGGCCUAACACAUGCAAGUCGAACGGCAGCACAGUAAGAGCUUGCUCUUACGGGUGGCGAGUGGCGGACGGGUGAGGAAUACAUCGGAAUCUACUUUUUCGUGGGGGAUAACGUAGGGAAACUUACGCUAAUACCGCAUACGACCUACGGGUGAAAGCAGGGGAUCUUCGGACCUUGCGCGAUUGAAUGAGCCGAUGUCGGAUUAGCUAGUUGGCGGGGUAAAGGCCCACCAAGGCGACGAUCCGUAGCUGGUCUGAGAGGAUGAUAGGCCACACUGGAACUGAGACACGGUCCAGACUCCUACGGGAGGCAGCAGUGGGGAAUAUUGGACAGUGGGCGCAAGCCUGAUCCAGCCAUACCGCGUGGGUGAAGAAGGCCUUCGGGUUGUAAAGCCCUUUUGUUGGGAAAGAAAAGCAGCAGGUUAAUACCCCGCUGUUCUGACGGUACCCAAAGAAUAAGCACCGGCUAACUUCGUG